Molecule: long non-coding RNA, 265 nt
Organism: Magnolia sinica
Lineage: Eukaryota; Viridiplantae; Streptophyta; Magnoliopsida; Magnoliales; Magnoliaceae
Exons: 3
Source: RefSeq, a predicted model, not a curated record
UUGGGUUUUCAAGUUUAGGUUUAGGUUUAGGUUAGGGAGUUGAGAUUAGGGUUAGGUGUAGGUUUAGGUUUAGGUAUUUGAGAAUAGGUUAAGGUUUAGGUUUAGGAGAUCGGGGUCGGGUUCGGGAUCGGGUUUAGGCUUGGGUUUUCACGUUUAGGUUUAGGUUAAGUAGUUGAGAUUAGGACUAGGUGUAAGUUUAGGUUUAAGUAUUUGAGAAUACAUUUAGGUUAUAGGUUUAGGUUUAGGUUUAGGUUAUAGGUUUAGG